AAACAUCCUUUCCUUCCCCCUUCACCUCACGGCAGCAAACACCCCUCUCAAUCUCACAUUUUUCAUUUCUCAAACACCUCAUUUUAACAUAUAAAAUCCUAUUUUAAGACCAUCUAAGAAGAUAGCAAGCAUGGAGGGUCAUUAGGAGUUUACUCUCUUCAUAAUCUUCAUCCCAAAGCUCACUAACCUCUUGCAAAAUUAAUGUGUCUGCCUCAAGUUGCAGAUCUGGUUGUUGUUGGUAGAUCUUCUCGAUCUUUGUGCCUGAAACCCUAGCUAGGGUUUUAUUGGAAGUGUGAAGGUUCUCCUUGUUCUUGGUGAAAACACUCUGUGUUGGUCUCUAAAUCCUUGAAGAUUUAGGGCAAACUGACCAGUAGUGUUUUAUUGAUUGUUGUUGAUUCUAGAUCUGUUGUUACAAAACUUCAGAUCUAGUUGCACCCACUGUGAGGCUAUUCUUUCCCUCUCUUUAUUUUUUGUUGAUUGGUUGAUUAGUUGAAGUCGGGGUAGUGAGGACCGGCACUUUGUUGUUGAUAUUUGUUUGUUGAUCUUGGUGUUUUUUCUUAGAUUGGUUGUAUUUGGCUCCUGUAUUAAGAC
This 591-nucleotide long non-coding RNA is filed under the name Helianthus annuus (common sunflower). RNAcentral's name for it is "hypothetical non coding rna". The record is from RNAcentral. Lineage: Eukaryota; Viridiplantae; Streptophyta; Magnoliopsida; Asterales; Asteraceae.